RNAcentral lists this ribosomal RNA (463 nucleotides) under uncultured Geobacillus sp. RNAcentral describes it as "bacterial SSU rRNA". It matches the Rfam family "Bacterial small subunit ribosomal RNA", at positions 920 to 1382 of the family's 1533-position model. The record is from RNAcentral. Lineage: Bacteria; Bacillati; Bacillota; Bacilli; Caryophanales; Anoxybacillaceae.
CCCGCACAAGCGGUGGAGCAUGUGGUUUAAUCGAAGCAACGCGAAGAACCUUACCAGGUCUUGACAUCCCCUGACAACCCGAGAGAUCGGGCGUUCCCCUUCGGGGGGACAGGGUGACAGGUGGUGCAUGGUUGUCGUCAGCUCGUGUCGUGAGAUGUUGGGUUAAGUCCCGCAACGAGCGCAACCCUCGCCUCUAGUUGCCAGCAUUCGGUUGGGCACUCUAGAGGGACUGCCGGCGACAAGUCGGAGGAAGGUGGGGAUGACGUCAAAUCAUCAUGCCCCUUAUGACCUGGGCUACACACGUGCUACAAUGGGCGGUACAAAGGGCUGCGAACCCGCGAGGGGGAGCGAAUCCCAAAAAGCCGCUCCCAGUUCGGAUUGCAGGCUGCAACUCGCCUGCAUGAAGCCGGAAUCGCUAGUAAUCGCGGAUCAGCAUGCCGCGGUGAAUACGUUCCCGGGCCUU